CCGCGAUACUUGGUGUGAAUUGCAGAAUCCCGUGAACCAUCGAGUUUUUGAACGCAAGUUGCGCCCGAAGCCAUUAGGCUGAGGGCACGUCUGCCUGGGCG
Molecule: ribosomal RNA, 101 nt
Filed under: Danais fragrans
Lineage: Eukaryota; Viridiplantae; Streptophyta; Magnoliopsida; Gentianales; Rubiaceae
Description: 5.8S ribosomal RNA
Rfam family: 5.8S ribosomal RNA
About the family: 5.8S ribosomal RNA (5.8S rRNA) is a component of the large subunit of the eukaryotic ribosome. It is transcribed by RNA polymerase I as part of the 45S precursor that also contains 18S and 28S rRNA. Functionally, it is thought that 5.8S rRNA may be involved in ribosome translocation.
Source: RNAcentral